CGAGCGCAGCGAGAGAACGUUGCGUCAGCAACGGCCCGCAGGGCGAGCUACGCAGUGGCGAGUCAUCCUCUAUCACCGGCAG
RNAcentral lists this small RNA (82 nucleotides) under Salmonella enterica. Its description in RNAcentral is "partial RtT sRNA". It matches the Rfam family "RtT RNA", at positions 49 to 130 of the family's 130-position model. From Rfam's summary of the family: This family represents a bacterial cis-regulatory element known as RtT RNA. Lineage: Bacteria; Pseudomonadati; Pseudomonadota; Gammaproteobacteria; Enterobacterales; Enterobacteriaceae. The record is from RNAcentral.